ACCUGGGUGGCUCAGUCGGUUAAGCAUCUGACUGAGGCUCAGGUCAUGAUCUCGUGGUUUGUGAGUUCGAGCCCCACAUCAGGCU
Felis catus (domestic cat) is the source of this 85-nucleotide non-coding RNA. Lineage: Eukaryota; Metazoa; Chordata; Mammalia; Carnivora; Felidae. The record is from Rfam.